Molecule: long non-coding RNA, 3035 nt
Organism: Musa acuminata AAA Group (dessert banana)
Lineage: Eukaryota; Viridiplantae; Streptophyta; Magnoliopsida; Zingiberales; Musaceae
Exons: 2
Source: RefSeq, a predicted model, not a curated record
UCGGUUAACCGGUUCGGACUGAACUGAUUUUAAUUAAAAAAAUAUCAACUCAACCCAAAGGCCCUAAAAUCCCUUCCCAAACUCUAUAAGUUCACUGCUCUUCCUUCAUCUCUACGACUCUUCCUCAUCGUCCCCUUCUUGGCCUAGCUCUCUCGUCUCAGGUAUGAACCCUAUAUGUUUGUCAUCCUUCUUCGUUAACAAUCCCUUUAUUGAUUUGUAUAAAUUCCUCUGUUGAUUUGUCCGUAUCAUUGCAUAUCCUCAUCAUCAAGAAAAAAAGACUUCAUGUGAAGCCGUUAUUCCUUUGGGGGCAUCUUUCAAUAAAAAAUAAAAAACCACUUGCACAUAGGUGCAAUUGUUUAGAAUGAAAUUUAUGAUAUAAACUUUUUAAGAAUGUAGGUCCAAUUGGAUCAAAAUUUUGAUUUGGUUCGAUUAAACUCAAUUGAUUCACCGAACCGAACUAGUUUAUUUGAUAUAUAUAUAUAUAUAUAUAUAUAUAUAUAUAUAUAUAUAUAUAUAUAUAUAUUGCUUUAACCGUACUUAAAAUUACUUAAAAUUAAAAAUCAGUUAAUCGGAUUUUAACCAGUUCGGUUAGGCAGGUCUGAAAUGGUUCCGGUUUGGAGUACAUUGCUUUAACCGUAUCAAAUCGUUUUUUGAUCGAACCGAACCAGUUCAUUUGAAAUAUAUAUAUAUAUAUAUAUAUAUAUAUAUAUAUAUAUAUAUAUAUAUAUAUUAAAUUACUUAAAAUUGAAAAUCAGUUAAUUGGUUUUGAAUUGGUUCGGUUAGGUAGGUCCGACAUGGUUCUGGUUCAGAUUAUCUUGAUUUAAUCAAACCAAAUCGUUUUUUCAGUUUGGUUUGAUUUGACCCUUAAUGGUUUGGUUCAAACCUCUCUAAACAUUCUAGGUCUUUUGGACGCAGAUUUCAUAUGUUGAAGUAGGAAACAACAACAACAACAACAACCAAACCGUAAAUCCAACUAUCUGGGGUUGACUACAUGGACUUUUUACGCUGUCAUUAAAAUUUGUAAAAAUCACAUGUUUAGUUAAGUUUAGAGUACUUUAAUUUUUAUUUAUAGUUUUUGCUAAAGUCUUUUUAGAUCUUUCUCUAUCUCUUCUCGUAUCAUUAAUAUUAAUCAUUUCACCUCUUCUGGUUAUCGCAUCCGAGGUACCCUAAACACAUGAGCAUACUAUCUUAAAUGAUUUUCUCAUCUUAUUCUCAAUCGAAACGAUAUCUAGUUGUUCACGACAAGAAUAUUUUUUUUCUUGUCUUUCCUAGUAGCUCUAUACAUCCAUCUGAAUAUUCUCGUAUCGACAAUACAAUUUUUUGCACAUGUUAUUUCUUAACUGUCCAACACUCAGAUCCAUUAAGCAUUGUUAGUUUCACAACUAUCUAAUAAAAUUUUUCUUUUAGUUUCAAAAGUAUCUAAUAAUCACACAAGACUUUUGACCCUUGUCAUUUUAAUUAUCUUGCUUUUACUCUAUGAAUAAUAUCUUCAUGGAUCUUUUCAUUUGAUUGAAUAAUUGAUCAUGUUGAAGUAGAAAAUUGAAUUAUACCCUUAGAUGAGCCCUCUAUUGUUCCCAUUACUUAAUUCCUCACACUCCUGUCGUGGCUUCUGUGCGUCCACAAUGGCAAUAAAAGGUUUUAUAUUCUUCAAUGCACUACUGCAGCAACUUAUUUUCUUCAUUGAGAGGAACAUAAGCAUUUGGUGGAACCCUAACUUUCUUUGGAUGUCCUGCGUACCACAUGCCAGGAAUCUGUUGAUGUGACAAAAACAUGUCACAUGGGGGAAGCCAUCUCUUGUUGAAGAAUAAACUAAUGCCAAUCAUUGGAAGAAAAAUAAUGAUUGAUUCCUUACAUGAGAAAGCAAUUGUUGUUCAUCUUUGAUGUUGCUAAGAUAACAUGUAACUUAUGUUGGACUCCUGACAGAGUACAUAUGUCUGCAAACCCCCAAGUUAUUGGACCCAAUCACAUUUGAAGAACAAUAAAUUAGUGGCAAUCACGAGAAGAAAAAUAAUGAUCGAUUGCCUUAAGAAAUUAGCAAUCAGUAGACCAGAUAAAGAGCAGUUCAUCUUCUUCAAUGAUACACUAUUGAUGUUGCUUCAAGUCAAGUUCUCUGCAUGAAUUAGAUAAUGCUUUUAAUAUAUCCUUUGAUUUAUCACAAGGCUAUAGUUUACAUGUUUCUGACAUCUACCCUUGAAUUUGAAGCAAACUACCAGCUCUACUGAUCUACUCAUAUAUUGAUACUCUUGUGCUACUCCAUAUGAUGAGUUCAAUAAACAAGAAGAAGCAUUGCAUGUGCCCAUGCAAGCAAAUCUAUUGUAGCUACCUCAUCUGGUGGAUCUUGCCUCCCACUGUUCAUAUCUUUUCCCCUAUAUAUAAACCAAGCAGGAUCAUAUGAUGGAAAGUGAUUCUGAGAAAAGAACACAUAUGGGUUCUUGGUUUCGCAGCAUCACAUCUCCUCUCAGAAAAGCUUGCACCAUUUUCAACUCCUCACCUAGAGAGAAGAAGAUCCCCACAGGACAUGAUUGCAGCAGCAUCGUGAAGCUUCAUGGGGAAGUGAUGGCAUGCCGGUAUGAGGACGUUCGAGUUAUGUGGUCCAUCCUCGACAAGUCAAGGCCAUCUAAUGAUAUGGCAUCAUUCCCAGCUCACGAGUGAGGAUGCACUUGUGCCACUUCUAAUGCACCUUCGUAUGUAUGUCCUCACCUCACUGUUGUGGAUCUGUCUGUGCUUAGAGCUAAGAUGAAACAAAAUAUAAGUCUGCAUCGUAGGAAGGAGAGCAGAAGGUCCACAGGUUGUAAUAACAAUUCCCCGUGGAUGCUCUCGAGGAUCAUGGUGAGAUUUUAAAGCCAAAAACUGUGGUCUACUUUUUUGAAGCUUCAGAGAGAGAGAGAGAGAGAGAGAGAGAGAGAGAGAGAGAGAGAGAGUAGCUCAACAACAAAUUGUGGGAGAGAAGAGCCUUGCAGACCGAGAAUGCUUUUUCUUCUCUUUCCCAAACUUUGUGCAUUCUUUACUAUAAACGAACAAUUGCAGCACCAUCA